Molecule: long non-coding RNA, 1726 nt
Filed under: Naja naja (Indian cobra)
Lineage: Eukaryota; Metazoa; Chordata; Lepidosauria; Squamata; Elapidae
Description: lncRNA (ENSNNAG00000017770.1)
Source: RNAcentral
CACCAUGCCGCCUACAAAGCGGCGUCUUAACCAAGCAUUUCCACACCUUGUGCCUUCCAGAUGCCUUGGACGGCAACUCCCAUGCUGGCUGGGAAUGAUUGGUCUGGCAAAGGAGGUCAUUAAGGUAACCCUUCCACUCUUGGCUCAAGCAAGCCAGCCAGUUCAAGACUCGGGGACUGUGUGGCCACUGAGGGAAACACAGCUCAUCUUAACCUAGGUGAAGGUUCCUCCAUGGUUUAGGCCAGGGGUGUCCACCUUUGGCUGCUUUUGUGGACUUCAACUCCCAGAAUCCCCCAGCCAGCAUGACCCAGAAACUUCAUCCCAUACCCAAUUUAAAAGGAGUCCUGUCUUUUGCUUCAGGUGGUCUUUCUUCCUUCUGUGGAUUCAGGUCAGUAGAGGAGAAGAGAUCAAGCUUUUCAGUUCGCUCUCACAAUCACACGCACACACACACACACACACACACACACACGUCUCUUUGCAGGGCACUCAAAGUGGUUGUGAGUUUCCUUUGCCCAUCAGUAGAUGGAGCUGCUGUUUUGCUCUCUAGGGGAAACACCGGGUUACUCUGGAGUAGCCCCAAAUCAAACAUUUGGUAGCAGCUCUUCGGACUCUCAGGUUUCCUUCAAAGGCACCUGCUUUGGGAGAGCUGCCGUCCCCUGUACUGGCUGCCUGAAGGGGCUAAAGUAAACCAGGGUUUAAAUUUGGGUGGGGGAAGCCCCUCCCCUAGACACUCCUUUGGCUCUCACUCUAGAGGGAAGAACCGUAAUUAAAAGGCGGGUCGGGAAGCCUCUUUCCUGGCUGCAUUUCCAACUAAUUCUGUCAAAAUUUAUUUAUUUAUUUGACUUGUAUGCCACCCCCUCUCCAAAAAGGACUCGGGGCGUCUUGAGCAAAGAGCCUGGCGCUGCUGGGACCCAGCGCAACUGGAAAGGGGUCGCUUUCCCCCCCCCUCUGUAUGUCUUCUGUUUUGUUUCCUUUUUGCAUCCCUGCUCUGGUCUCGGUUCUCUCCCUCCUUCAUCUCCAACCCUCCAGUUCCAUCUUUUUCUUUCUGUCCUCCCUUCUUUCCCUCUUGGAAACUGACAGGCUGCUGGACCAGGAGUCCUGCCUGCAGUGCCUCCCACCACCCGCUGCUGGCAACGGGGGCGGGACCAGUGAGGUGGAGAGAAGAGGGAGGUUGGCUGGCCAGUCAGCUAACUGCCUGUCCACAGCUGGUCCCGUUGCUGCUGCCUGCAGCUCCUUGGCUUGCCAGCAUGGGCUCCUUUGCCCCUGGGGCUGCCGCUCAGGAGCUUCUGCUGCCACAAGAUUUGGAGAGGGCUCAGUUUUUCACUGUCAUCCACUGGAUCCAAGCUGUCACAGCUACUUUGAGCAUCAUGGGAUCGAGCUCAAUAAUUGGCUACACCAUAUUCCAGAAUACCACCAGAUCCCCUGAGGUGCGCCCUCUGGUCUACCUGAGCCUCUCCGAUCUCUUUCUGGGGCUGUGCUGGCUCACGGGGGCCCUUUUCUACAGCAGAGAAGCAUCCCACCCAACUAGAGAAGGCACCAUCUGCUACAACUUGCAAGCUACCGGACAGGUGAAACCUCCGUUGAUCUCCAGCUCCGUGGUGGGGUGGGAAGUGUGUUAUUUUUGAGGUGGGCUUCAAAGGGGGUACAGAAGGUGGACUGGUGGAAUAGCCACAUAUGGAAGAAACAAUCCAGUUGCUUCCACCUGUUGCCAGUUGUUCAACCUUUG